This 602-nucleotide long non-coding RNA is filed under the name Rattus norvegicus (Norway rat). Its description in RNAcentral is "long non-coding RNA NONRATT027781". The record is from RNAcentral. Lineage: Eukaryota; Metazoa; Chordata; Mammalia; Rodentia; Muridae.
CAUGUUUUUGCAAGACCGCUCUCCUCCUUUUCCCACGUUUAAAUGCUGCUGUCUUCAGUGCUCCAUCUAAAUUUAAAACAACAAAAAACUUGUUAUUGAUUCUUUGUGAUUUCACAUCAUGCACCCAAUCCCACUCAUCUCCCCAUCCCUCCAUAUCUGCCCUCCACCUUUCAACCCCUCCCCCCCAAAAGAAAACAACAACAAAAAUUUCUCUGUGGAACUGGUGUGUCAUGGAAUGGGGUCCCCUGGAUACUAGGGUCAGGGAAACCACUGUCACUGUGGAAGAAGGAAUGUGCCAGGGCUAGACAGAUGAUUGGGCAGUGAAGAGAGUGCAGUGUCCCAUAGAAGAUGCAGGCUUGAUUUCCAGCACCCUGACUCCAGCUUCAGGGGGAUCUAAAGCUCUCUUCUGGUCUCUGCUGUCACAUAUCCACUCUCAGAAACACACGAAUAUACACAUAACUAAAACAAAUCUCUAUCUUUAAGUAAUAUGCCGAGGCAGAAAUGGUGAAGGAUUUGUAUUAAGAGUAUAUUAAGCAAACAUGGUUUAAAACAGCCCCCACUCUGGAUAGCUGGCUGGCGUUUAGGUGAGUUCGUUUUUAAAC